UACGUAGGGAGCAAGCGUUGUCCGGAAUCAUUGGGCGUAAAGCGCGCGUAGGUGGCCCCAUAAGUCCGCUGUGAAAGUCAAAGGCUCGACCUUUGAAAGCCGGUGGAUACUGUGGGACUAGAGUACGGAAGAGGCGAGUGGAGUUCCUGGUGUAGCGGUGGAAUGCGCAGAUAUCAGGAGGAACACCAAUAGCGAAGGCAGCUCGCUGGGACGUUACUGACACUGAGGCGCGAAAGCGUGGGGAGCGAACAGG
This 253-nucleotide ribosomal RNA is filed under the name uncultured bacterium. RNAcentral describes it as "partial 16S ribosomal RNA". It matches the Rfam family "Bacterial small subunit ribosomal RNA", at positions 524 to 776 of the family's 1533-position model. The record is from RNAcentral.